Molecule: long non-coding RNA, 2062 nt
Organism: Rhea pennata
Lineage: Eukaryota; Metazoa; Chordata; Aves; Rheiformes; Rheidae
Exons: 3
Source: RefSeq, a predicted model, not a curated record
CAGGGAAGUUAGCGGUACACAAAUACCCGCGGCCUCAAGCCUGUGCUUAUCAGCCUGCUGCACGUUUUACAGCUAUCUACGCAGGCCAUAUGUGUGAUGGGCAGUGCUGACAUCAGAAAGUUUCACUCAGCCGAAACCCCUUCCUCUCUCCUUCGGAAAUGUUUUGUCCCUUCAUCAGUGGUGCUGGCAGCAAGCAGCACAAGAGUUUGAAGUACUGCAAUUAUCUGGUACGGCAGUGGGUCAAACAGCCGUGCAGGCUCCUCUGUGAAUCACGUGUGCUGGGAAGAAGGAAUUGCUGACAUACACCAGAUGAACUAGCAUUACCAUCCUUCCAUAAAGAUUUUUUUUUCUUCUACUUCCCCAAAAUGGAAAGUUCGUGCAGUCCGCAGAACAGCCUCGCCGCGCCGGAAGGUUCCCGUCCUUGCAGCCUGGCAGCCUGCUCCGGCUUGCAGAUUCCUCUGCGGGUUGCGUGUGUUGUUCCCACAGCGCGCCCGCCCUGACCCGAGGCAGGGCCGUGGAGACUCCUGCGGGAGCACCAGAGUUGGAUGAACUUUGACAGAUUGUCUCCUCUGAGGACUUUGGCCCUGCACGGCAUCCUCUCCACACCGUCCCUGAGGCCAUCUGUCACUGAGCUAGCAGACUUGCAUGUGUGUGAUGACGCUGAUUUUCUGACUGAGAAAGCAGACGUGCAGCGUGCUUUCCCGAAAGCAAUGGCACGGUCUUCGUACCACGUGCAGCCAGCUGCUGCGUAAGGGUUUGAGCCAAAGCCCAGGGAGUCGGAGGGAACCUCUCCUCGGACAUCAGGAGCCUUCGGAGCCCUUCCGCAGGGGCUCAGUGUCUUUGAGCAGUACCUUUGGUAGUGAAGGACGCGAUUUGGCCGGUGACCUUCCGAAGAGGCUUCAGAAGAUUGUACCCAGCUCAUACUUCUCAUUAAUCUAGCUUUGAUUUUCAUCACCGUUCCACUUAAGAAACCCAUUAGGAUCUCGUUUAGCUUGUUUUGUUUUGUUUUGUUUUUUUAUCUUACUGUGAUUUUGAUUUUGUUGCCAAUACCUUUCUCAUAGCUUCUGGAGACAAACCAAUAGCUUUAAAGAUUAGUAGCCUGCCCAGAUGCCUGCAGGAUCUCCAUAUCUGAUAAAAUACCCAUAAUUUACAAAUCUUUUAAAAUUUGGAAGCAUGUGGGGACUGCAGCAAAAGAACUUCUGUUUUAACAAAGUAGAGAACUCUUUUCAGUAUUUUUUUGUAAAAAUAAUCUCUAUACUUCUGCAACAUUGUUCUGCCUUUCUCACCAGUUCUAAUGAAGGUGAAACCCUCACAUUAGCUCUGUAGUAAGACACAACUCAGGCCUUUGUUCAUUCCUUAAUUUCUAGUUAAGAAAGUUGUAGGAUUUAUGUAUGCUGAAUGGAAGAUACAGCUCUCUCAGUGUUAUAUAAAGAUUGAAAACAAGUAAUCUUUAAAAACAUAAUUCCAGUGACAAUGCAUAAUCCCAGUAAUUAACUAUACUGUGUAACUCAUAGUAUACCUCUCUAUGCAGAAAUGCAUCUUGCUCUCAAGAAACAUACUUUAUAUUUGCAGUUUUCAAGACAAAUCAACAAAAGAUGCUAAACCUUAAAGCCAGUGACCUCCUGCAGCUGUCCAGCAACCUGCUUGUCUUCCAUUCCUGUUGGCUGGGUGGGGUAAAAAGCCUAUAGGGGAAAAGCUCUUCAAGUCCAACGGACAUCGUGAUACCGAUUUGGAGCUGCAUGGCAGCCUCCGUACAUCAUCUUUGCAUUAAUUAAGCUGUUUCUUUAUAUUUUCCUUUCAUUUCUUGCCUGUUAGCAUGGUCUUAUGGAUUCUUCCCUGUAGCUGGAGCCAUUGCAGGUUAGCUUUAAGCUCUGCUCUCAAUUUUGCAGAGGCAACUGCUAUCCAAGUCAUCCUGGUAGCUGUGGGGAUAUGCUUGUUACAUGGUACUUCUUUGCCUACUUUGCAGCUUGCAAAGGGAGAAUAAUUGUAGAGGAAAACAUCUAGGAGCAAUUAGAGCAGGUCCUUUGAGGAAUCUAAUUGUGCAAUACCUCUUUCUACCUUA